Molecule: ribosomal RNA, 497 nt
Filed under: uncultured bacterium
Lineage: Bacteria
Description: partial 16S ribosomal RNA
Rfam family: Bacterial small subunit ribosomal RNA
Source: RNAcentral
GAUGAACGCUGGCGGCGUGCCUAAUACAUGCAAGUCGAGCGAACAGAUAAGGAGCUUGCUCCUUUGACGUUAGCGGCGGACGGGUGAGUAACACGUGGGUAACCUACCUAUAAGACUGGAAUAACUCCGGGAAACCGGGGCUAAUGCCGGAUAACAUUUAGAACCGCGUGGUUCUAAAGUGAAAGAUGGUUUUGCUAUCACUUAUAGAUGGACCCGCGCCGUAUUAGCUAGUUGGUAAGGUAACGGCUUACCAAGGCAACGAUACGUAGCCGACCUGAGAGGGUGAGCGGCCACACUGGCACUGAGACACGGUCCAGACUCCUACGGGAGGCAGCAGUAGGGAAUCUUCCGCAAUGGGCGAAAGCCUGACGGAGCAACGCCGCGUGAGUGAUGAAGGUCUUCGGAUCGUAAAACUCUGUUAUUAGGGAAGAACAAAUGUGUAAGUAACUGUGCACGUCUUGACGGUACCUAAUCAGAAAGCCACGGCUAACUACGUG